GACGAACGCUGGCGGCGUGCUUAACACAUGCAAGUCGAACGGAAAGACCCUGCUUUUGUGGGGUGCUCGAGUGGCGAACGGGUGAGUAACACGUGAGUAACCUGCCCUUGACUUUGGGAUAACUUCAGGGAACUGGGGCUAAUACCGGAUAGGAGCUCCUGCUGCAUGGUGGUGGUUGGAGAGUUUCGGCGGUUGGGGCUGGACUCGCGGCUUAUCAGCUUGUUGGUGGGGUAGUGGCUUACCAAGGCUUUGACGGGUAGCCGGCCUGAGAGGGUGACCGGGCACAUUGGGACUGAGGUACGGCGCAGACUCCUACGGGAGGCAGCAGUGGGGAAUAUUGCACAACGGGCGGAAGCGUGAUGCAGCAACGCCGCGUGCGGGAUGCCGGCCUUCGGGUUGUAAACCGCUUUCGCCUGUGACGAAGAGUGAGUGACGGUAAUGGGUAAAGAAGCACCGGCUAACUACGUG
This 468-nucleotide ribosomal RNA is filed under the name uncultured bacterium. RNAcentral describes it as "partial 16S ribosomal RNA". It matches the Rfam family "Bacterial small subunit ribosomal RNA", at positions 28 to 507 of the family's 1533-position model. The record is from RNAcentral.